GGUUGGCUAGCUCAGUUGGUUAGAGCAUCAAGCUAAUACAACUGGUUACUUGAAGGUCAUGGGUUCGACCCCCCUGCUGACCA
RNAcentral lists this transfer RNA (83 nucleotides) under Rhizoctonia solani 123E. It matches the Rfam family "tRNA". Rfam says of the family: Transfer RNA (tRNA) molecules are approximately 80 nucleotides in length. Their secondary structure includes four short double-helical elements and three loops (D, anti-codon, and T loops). The record is from Rfam by way of RNAcentral. Lineage: Eukaryota; Fungi; Basidiomycota; Agaricomycetes; Cantharellales; Ceratobasidiaceae.